This 252-nucleotide ribosomal RNA is filed under the name uncultured bacterium. RNAcentral describes it as "partial 16S ribosomal RNA". It matches the Rfam family "Bacterial small subunit ribosomal RNA", at positions 524 to 776 of the family's 1533-position model. The record is from RNAcentral.
UACGUAGGGGGCAAGCGUUGUCCGGAUUUAUUGGGCGUAAAGAGCGUGUAGGCGGCCAGAUAGGUCAGCUGUGAAACUCGAGGCUCAACCUCGAGACGUCGGUUGAAACCAUCUGGCUAGAGUCCGGAAGAGGAGAGUGGAAUUCCUGGUGUAGCGGUGAAAUGCGCAGAUAUCAGGAAGAACACCCGUGGCUAAGGCGGCUCUCUAGUACGGUACUGACGCUGAGACGCGAAAGCGUGGGGAGCGAACAGG